GACGAACGCUGGCGGCGUGCUUAACACAUGCAAGUCGAACGGAAAGGCCCCUUUGGGGGUCCUCGAGUGGCGCACGGGGGAGUAACACGUGAGUAACCUGCCCUUGACUUCUGGAUAACUUCAGGACACUGGGGCUAAUACCGGAUAGGAAUCCUUGCUGCAUGGUGGGGGUUGGAAAGCUUCGGCGGUUUUGGAUGGACUCGCGGCUUUUCAGCUUGUUGGUGGGGAAGUGGCGUACCAAUGCUUUGACGGUGAGCCGGCCUGUGAGGGCGACCGGCCACAGUGGGACUGGGAUACGGCCCAGACUCCUACGGGAGGCAGCAGUGGAGAAUAGUGCACAAUAGGCGGAAGCCGUAUGCAGCAACGCCGCGUGCGGGAGGACGGCCGUCGGGUUAUAAACCGCAUUCAGCAGGGGCGAAGCUUGUGGUGACGGUACCUACAGAAGAAGCACCGGCUAACUACGUG
Molecule: ribosomal RNA, 465 nt
Filed under: uncultured bacterium
Lineage: Bacteria
Description: partial 16S ribosomal RNA
Rfam family: Bacterial small subunit ribosomal RNA
Source: RNAcentral